Molecule: ribosomal RNA, 260 nt
Filed under: uncultured bacterium
Lineage: Bacteria
Description: partial 16S ribosomal RNA
Rfam family: Bacterial small subunit ribosomal RNA
Source: RNAcentral
ACUCCUACGGGAGGCAGCAGUGGGGAAUCUUGGACAAUGGGGGCAACCCGUGAUCCAGCCAUGCCGCGUGAGUGAUGAAGGCCUUAGGGUCGUAAAGCUCUUUCGCCUGUGAAGAUAAUGACGGUAGCAGGUAAAGAAACCCGCGUACAUCCGUGCCAGCAGCCGCGGUAAUACGGAGGGGGUUAGCGUUGUUCGGAAUUACUGGGCGUAAAGCGCACGUAGGCGGAUCGGAAAGUUGGGGGUGAAAUCCCGGGGCUCAA